RNAcentral lists this ribosomal RNA (280 nucleotides) under uncultured Piloderma. RNAcentral's name for it is "partial 28S ribosomal RNA". It matches the Rfam family "Eukaryotic large subunit ribosomal RNA", at positions 1 to 270 of the family's 3401-position model. Lineage: Eukaryota; Fungi; Basidiomycota; Agaricomycetes; Atheliales; Atheliaceae. The record is from RNAcentral.
UUGACCUCAAAUCAGGUAGGACUACCCGCUGAACUUAAGCAUAUCAAUAAGCGGAGGAAAAGAAACUAACAAGGAUUCCCCUAGUAACUGCGAGUGAAGCGGGAAAAGCUCAAAUUUAAAAUCUGGCGGUCUUGCGGCCGUCCGAGUUGUAAUCUGGAGAAGCGUUUAUCCGCGUCGGACCGUGUACAAGUCUUCUGGAAGGGAGCGUCGUAGAGGGUGAGAAUCCCGUCUUUGACACGGACAACCGGUGCUUUUGUGAUGCGCUCUCGAAGAGUCGAGU